AGGGUCCUAGCUAGUCGCCAGUAUGCUU
This 28-nucleotide small RNA is filed under the name Bombyx mori (domestic silkworm). Its description in RNAcentral is "ovarian small RNA-12226". The record is from RNAcentral. Lineage: Eukaryota; Metazoa; Arthropoda; Insecta; Lepidoptera; Bombycidae.